Molecule: ribosomal RNA, 433 nt
Filed under: uncultured bacterium
Lineage: Bacteria
Description: partial 16S ribosomal RNA
Rfam family: Bacterial small subunit ribosomal RNA
Source: RNAcentral
AACGAACGCUGGCGGCAUGCCUAACACAUGCAAGUCGAACGAUCCCUUCGGGGAUAGUGGCGCACGGGUGCGUAACGCGUGGGAACCUGCCCUUAGGUUCGGAAUAACUCAGAGAAAUUUGAGCUAAUACCGGAUAAUGUCUUCGGACCAAAGAUUUAUCGCCUUUGGAUGGGCCCGCGUUGGAUUAGCUAGUUGGUGGGGUAAAGGCCUACCAAGGCGACGAUCCAUAGCUGGUCUGAGAGGAGGAUCAGCCACACUGGGACUGAGACACGGCCCAGACUCCUACGGGAGGCAGCAGUGGGGAAUAUUGGACAAUGGGCGAAAGCCUGAUCCAGCAAUGCCGCGUGAGUGAUGAAGGCCUUAGGGUUGUAAAGCUCUUUUACCCGAGAUGAUAAUGACAGUACCGGGAGAAUAAGCCCCGGCUAACUCCGUG